AAUUUUCCACAAUGGACGAAAGUCUGAUGGAGCAACGCCGCGUGAACGAUGAAGGUCUUCGGAUUGUAAAGUUCUGUUGUCAGGGACGAACAAGUACCGUUCGAACAGGGCGGUACCUUGACGGUACCUGACGAGAAAGCCACGGCUAACUACGUGCCAGCAGCCGCGGUAAUACGUAGGUGGCAAGCGUUGUCCGGAUUUAUUGGGCGUAAAGCGCGCGCAGGCGGCUAUGUAAGUCUGGUGUUAAAGCCCGGGGCUCAACCCCGGUUCGCAUCGGAAACUGUGUAGCUUGAGUGCAGAAGAGGAAAGCGGUAUUCCACGUGUAGCGGUGAAAUGCGUAGAGAUGUGGAGGAACACCAGUGGCGAAGGCGGCUUUCUGGUCUGUAACUGACGCUGAGGCGCGAAAGCGUGGGGAGCAAACAGG
This 424-nucleotide ribosomal RNA is filed under the name uncultured bacterium. Its description in RNAcentral is "partial 16S ribosomal RNA". It matches the Rfam family "Bacterial small subunit ribosomal RNA", at positions 360 to 776 of the family's 1533-position model. The record is from RNAcentral.